UCCGCGCUCCCUCCCUCCUUCCCCCUCUCUCUCCUUCUCUCCCUCCCUUCCUCCCUUUCUCCCGCGCCGUGCGGGGCGCGGCGCGGGCCCCUCUGCCCGCGGCUUUGUGCGUGUCCCGUCCUUGUGAAGAGAAGCAAGCAGCUGCAGCGCUGGGCCGAGUUGUUGAAAUUUAUCCCUUUGUGUAUAUUACAAUAUCCUCCAUUUUUCUGCCCUCUAAACAACGAGCCUUUCGCCAUCUUGGGCAAAUUUUUAUUCCAAAGUCUGUCCGUCUCUUUUAGGAAGGAACGAGUAGAAAUCUUGAAAGCCCUUUGGGUAAGUCUCAAAGUUUAGGAAAUGUUACAGGGACAGACAGUGACGUCAUGUAAAGUUUAAGGGGAUUUUUUUCCAAGACUCUGUGCUUUCCCCCGGCAUUCCUGAUCUAACGCGUUGUAAAUCUCACUUUAAAGAGAGAGGUUCCGAGUUGAGACUGCACGUACAGGGGAUAUUGUGAAUAUGCGUCUUUAUCUUGUGUCUGGUUUCGUAACAGGGAAAUAAUUGUGCUUUUGGGUUAUUCUCCCCCCCCUUGCCUAUUUCUUUUCUUUUCCUGUCCCGGCCUCAGUGUUUAAUAUGUAAUGCUCGUUCGGUUGUUUAAGUAAACGUUCUAAAGUUCUUAUGUUAAAUAACGAACUAUCUGGAGAUUUUCAUUGUUUUUGUUUACGGAAAGUAGUAAUCUAAUGUGAAGCUUAAAUGAAACACUUGGUACAGGAUCUUCCCUGAGAGAUAAACAGUAUCUCCUUGAUAUGAGGAACAUGGAAAUACAUAAGUCCAUUUUUAAAUGACAGAUUUUGGGAGGCAUGUGUGGAAGUAACAAACUUAUUAACCUAUGUUAUUAAAAGGUUCCGCCUGGAAAGUAGCUAUAAAUAUUGCAUGUAGUUUGGGUUAUGUUCCAGGUGCCGUGUAACGUGGGUGGCUAAAUGUAGUUACUGUGCUAAACUCAUUAGAAAACCCAACCCUACAACAACCCUGCACCCAAAAACCAACAACAAAUUGUAUCCUCUAUACAUUUUGCAUCAGCUGUUGUGAAAAGGAAAACAAUAAAAGGUACUACUGUGUUAAUUUACUUCUCAAUUGCACAUUUUUUUUAUCUCAGAAAAGUUUUUCUGGUCACAUGAUAUGACUUAGUGAAACAUGGGAUACUUGAUAAGGAAAAGCUGUUGUAGGUGAAGUUCUGUUUUUCUAUUCUUUCUAUGCUUAUCUGACUUGCUGCAUAUUUAAAGUCACACAAUCGAGAACACGAAACUGUAUUUAAUUUGCAUUUUCUUUGUCUUCAGGGUUGGGAAAAACAUUGACUACAAUUAACAUAGAAAGUAAUAGCAACAGCUGUUUGUACAUCAAGGCUUUUAUAUCCAAGUCAGUAUUGAAUGAUGUACUUAAAGCAUACUUAAGGUUAUGUUGGAACAAAUGUCAAAUAUUACUUACUUUAUUUUUCUUUCUUAAAUGCAUCAGAAAGCGUGGUUGGAUUCAUGUAUUUACUGGCUAUGUGAAUACCAGGUAAAUGAAAAAGUUUAAAUAGUUGAAAGCAUGUACAACGGGUGAUUCUAAAUUACAAAUGGAACAAAGGUCUAGAAGAUUGGACAGAUUAUAAGUGAUGAGCAACAGCAUAAGUAGUUUCAGAAAACGAUAGUAUAGUUUUGACAUCUCAUAGAAAACUACACACGUUUUUGUCAAAUUGCUGCAAAAUCAAUAAACUACAUAAUAUUAAGAAAAUUGUAGCCAAGGUAGUUUUUGUAGAGGAAGCAGUAGGAAUUGUUAGGGGAUUUUCAGUGUUCAAGAAAUUUUAUGUUUGCUUCAAUCAGGGGAUAUUUGUUUCAUCAUAGAUGGUACCAAUUCCUUGUAAGUAAUGGAGUAUUCAUAUCAUGUUGUGAUGGAGUUCAUCGUAAACAGAAGUCUCUGGAGAAUAAAAAAUAUUUCUUCAGAGGAUCAGGGGAGGGGGAGGCGGGGAAGGAGCAAGUGAGCGGCGCAGUUUCAGUCAGAGCACUAAAUUGGAGAGUACCAUUCCUAAACUAUGACACACGGGUAUUUCUCAUCCGGAUUAUUUUUUUAAACUAAAUUCCACUGUGCUGGGUUCCUUACAGGACAAUGUUCCCAGAAAAAGUAGUUGUUUUUAGGAUUUGUCCAUGUAGAUUAUUGUAGGUUGUCAAUACCACUGUAAAAUGUUUUGAGUAGCAUUAGAGGAAAGGUAACUAAAUAUGUGCUUUGUACCUUUUGAUGAGAAAUGCUUGGUUUUCUUGAACAUGUAAUACAAUGCUUUGCAUUUUCAAAAGAUAAGUUAGCAAUGUUUUUAUGUAAUAGAGGGAACAAGCAUUGGUUGACCACCUGCAGUAUAUGUGUUUAAUCCUUAUACUGCUAAGAAGAAAGUGCUAGGAGACUGAAUUUUUUUUUCUUAAUGAAGAACACUGAAAAUGCCAAUAAGAAAGUAAUGGAAGUCUUCCUUUUUAGGUCCUGUUGACCUUUCUUGUGUUUUCUUUGUCUGCAUGUUUAUUACAGAACUGCAGUGUAAAGGAGCAGAUGUUUUGCAAAACAUCCUGAUGUGUUGCUUUUUCUUAUGGGAGUGCAUAACUGUUCCUUCUGAUGCAUCGACUUGACAGCUGGUUGAUUUCAUGGAACUGCUAAGAAGCCAUUAGUGGUGUCAUUGAAUUGAAACAGAACAGUGGCUCCCAGCUUGAACUGCAAUUGUUAACGUCUUUGUUGCUACUUUUCUCUUCCUAUGCAAAAUGUGGAAUAUCAUAGUUGCAGAUAAAAAGAAGUUUGUGCUCCCUGUCUGAUAUCCCUGAAUGAAGGAAAGGAGGCAUUAGUACCUGACUGCUUUUAGUUUUUUAAUUUUCUUAUGAUGGCGUAUUUGGGAAUAAGAGAUCUUGACUGUUGGGAGGUACAAUGCACAAUGCAGUUUGCUACCCCCCCUCACACACACACACAUUAAGGGCUUCACUGUGUGAAUGCUGUGUGUUCAAAUUGCUUCACUGUGAUCAUCUCCCAGGCCCUAAUACAGGUAUCUUUAAAUAAAACUAAAUAGUGAUGGGGUGCUUUUUUUUUAAUCAGCAAACUAUUCUAAUAGAUUACAUAAGAGUGAUACUUAGUGUUUUCAUCCUUUAAAUAAUUUGGCCCAAUGCAGAUUCCCAAAGUCUACCAGUUUUCUCCCAAGUGUGGUUCAGCAUCUUAGUUAAUUUUGUUUUACUGCAGUACAUUCAGUAAAUUAUGUCAUACCUCAUUACCAACUAGUUUGUGAUUGUUUAUUGCCACCAGAAGAAACACUGAAACAGGUAUCAAGGACAGCAGUGAUUUUUGUGAUUGAUAGUUUACAACAUCCUGAACAUGGACAAAAUGUAGUAUGUGUUGGUCAGUGUAUUUUAAAGAAACUGGAAGUUUAUGUUGAAGAACAUGAUGCAGUAUGGAGAAUUUGGGUACGGAUGAUCUUCCCUGCUGCAUCACAGAAGGAAAUGAAACAUCCUUUUUGUAACUAACAUCUGUGCUUUAAAAAUUUUUUGUUAUACUACAUUUUUACUUUAAACCUAUUUUUGUUGUAUUCUUUCUGCGUAAUGGUAGAAAGAAAGUGCAUCUUUUUUUUAAGUGAGUGAUAGGCAUUUGGAGUUCCUCUGGGUUACUCUUUACAGAUGAGAAACAGAAACAAGGAUACUGUAUUAGUAAGCUUAAAGUAGAUCCUCCUCCACCCUGCUCCCCAUUUUUUGCCUGCUUAUUUAAAAAAAAAAAAGGCAACAAACAAAUCAAUAUGGAGUCCCCAGAAGAUUAGUGUAAGGAAAAUAGUGAGUUCACAUUAAUUUUUGAAAUUUGCGUUUCUUAUUACUUUUAUGGAGGCAAGACUGUGUAAGAUUCACUGUUAUAGAGAUAAGGACUGAUUUGUGGAAGGGUUUAGUCUUUUACCAACAUCACAAGAUGAUGAUAGAGGCAGAAAAAAGAGCUGCCUUCACCCAGUUUAAUCUCUAGUGUGCUGGGUAGUUGUUUCCUUGAAAAGGGAAAUGUGUGGUUUGUUUUUCUGCAGAGUAAUGCCAGUGGGGUGGGUAAGCUGAGUGCACAUAGUCAUUAGAAGAAAUUGGGACCAUGUGUUCAUUAAGUUCACUCUGCAGAAGGGCCAGGCUAGAUGCAGUAUUUUGCUGUUAUUUUGUUUCUAAAUCGUACAGUUUUAAGUGAAAAAAGGUAUGUAGAACAUAUAAUCCAGUUAUCACACAAUUUCACAGUUAGCUGAGUUAAGUUCUUGUUUAGUGUUUUAGCUCUUUACUGUCCUAAAUUUGCAUUAUAUAAUGUCCUUAAAAAGAAAAAAAUAACUAUACUUUUUUAAGUCUGAUACUGCAAUUCCUUUAAGAUUUAAAUGGAAAUUAAAAUGCCAGAAGACCAUUGUAGUAA
Molecule: long non-coding RNA, 4398 nt
Organism: Pseudopipra pipra
Lineage: Eukaryota; Metazoa; Chordata; Aves; Passeriformes; Pipridae
Exons: 2
Source: RefSeq, a predicted model, not a curated record